AUGCGCCUCAAGGUCGACUACGCUGCCCUCGUCUCCGAGCACUACCGCGCCCAGGCGCUCCCGGCGUCCUUCAAGGACAUGCCAGAGGAGGCGAGAACCCAGAUCAACCGGUGGUUCGAGAGCGCAACGGCGGGCCGGAUCAAGGGCCUCCUGCCCGAGGGCUCCAUCAACGGCGCGACGCUGGCCGUCCUCGGGAACGCGCUCUACUUCAAGGGCGCCUGGUGCCGCAAGUUCGACCCCCGGCUCACCCUCGACGACACCUUCCACCUCCCCGCCGGCGGCAGCGUCCGCGCGCCCUUCAUGUCGAGCAGAGACCGCCAGCAGCACGUCGCCUGCCGCUCCGGCUACAAGGUCCUGCAGCUGCCGUACGCGCGCGGCCGGUACUUUUCCAUGUACAUCUACCUCCCGGACGAGCGCGACGGCCUGCAGAGCCUGCUGCACAGGCUGGGGUCCGACCCGGCGCUGCUGGAGAGCUCCACGACGCUGACGGCCCAGGUCCCCGCGGCCUUCAAGGUGCCCAAGUUCACCAUCUCGUGCAAGACGAACGCGACCGAGCUGCUGCAGGACCUCGGCCUGCGCCUGCCGUUCGCGCCCCUCGCCGCGGACUUCUUGGAGAUGCUGGAUUCGGCGGCGCCGCUCGUCGUGUCGGCCGUCUUCCACCAGUCCUUCGUCGAGGUGAACGAGGAAGGGACGGAGGCGGCCGCGGCGACCGCCGUUGUUGCGUCCUUUGGCGCCGCGGCGGUGAGGACGCCGGUUCAGGUCGUGGACUUCGUGGCCGACCACCCGUUCAUGUUCUUGAUCAAGGAGGAGCUCAGCGGCGUCGUGGUUUUCUCCGGCCAAGUGGUCAAUCCGUUGGUUCCA
This 861-nucleotide ribosomal RNA is filed under the name Triticum aestivum (bread wheat). Its description in RNAcentral is "partial small subunit ribosomal RNA". The record is from RNAcentral. Lineage: Eukaryota; Viridiplantae; Streptophyta; Magnoliopsida; Poales; Poaceae.